RNAcentral lists this unclassified non-coding RNA (240 nucleotides) under soil metagenome. Its description in RNAcentral is "partial contains 5.8S ribosomal RNA, internal transcribed spacer 2, and large subunit ribosomal RNA". The record is from RNAcentral.
AACAUCGCGCACCUGCGGGAACCUGCGGAAGGAUCAUUAAAGAGUUGCAAAACUCCCUAAACCAUUGUGAACCUUACCUAUAUCGUUUCUUCGGCAGGCGGCGCAAGCCCUAACCGACUUCUCUAUCUUGGGGAGAAGACCUGCCGGAGGCUCUAAAACUCUUAACGUUAGUUGGUAUUCUCUGAGUAAGCUUUUAAAUAAGUUAAAACUUUCAACAAUGGAUCUCAGAUCGGAAGAGCA